GGCACCGUGUCCGAGUGGUCCAAGGAGUGUGACUCGGGUUCUUAUCUGUGUAUGCAGGCAGGGAUUCGAAUCCCCUCGGUGUCA
Molecule: transfer RNA, 84 nt
Filed under: Sphaerobolus stellatus SS14
Lineage: Eukaryota; Fungi; Basidiomycota; Agaricomycetes; Geastrales; Sphaerobolaceae
Description: tRNA-Pro (CGG) (tRNA-Pro-CGG-6-1)
Rfam family: tRNA
About the family: Transfer RNA (tRNA) molecules are approximately 80 nucleotides in length.
Source: RNAcentral